Molecule: long non-coding RNA, 7034 nt
Filed under: Homo sapiens (human)
Lineage: Eukaryota; Metazoa; Chordata; Mammalia; Primates; Hominidae
Description: HSALNT0398792
Source: RNAcentral
CGGCGGGGUUCAUUUGCUGAAAGGAUUUUACAAGGGCAUGCACGGAUGGGCCUAGGAGGAGGUUCAGAUCCCUCAGGUUUGGCUAAGCAAGAGUCAUGGUGGUGCUCCCGGCUGGCUCUCAGGAGCAGAUGUGCUUCUGACCCGACGUCUUCCCCCAGAGAGGGCUGAAGUGGAAAAAACCCCAGAAUUUCUCCCUGGGACAGGUGAAGCGAUGGGGCGUGGGACAUUCCUGGGUCUCGACUCUGUUCAGGGCCUAGGGGUUGGGUGGGGAAGGCACUUGAGGGAACCUUCCUGGAGCCCGUAGGAGCUUCAUCCGAGCUCCUGGGUCACCCCGCCCACCAGAGUCCAGGCCCACCAGAGUCCCCUGCCACCUGUGCUCACCCUAGCCUUACCCCUCGCUCUACUCCCGCCCUCGCCCUAUCCUCGCUCCUCGCCCUACGCUUGCCCCUCGCUCUGGAGCUGCGAUGCCAGCCUCAGGGCUUUCAGUCCUGCCUUGAUCUUUUUUUAUACUGAAACUCAAUUUUACACACACAAACCCACUCCCAGCCAGCCUCUGCCUUUUGCCUUUUCCUCAUGUUCUCAUUGAAUAGGAAGAAAUGCCCUUUUUUUUCCCCCCUAGAAGGAGUCUUGCUCUGUUGCCAGGCUGGAGUGCAGUGGCACGAUCUCGGCUCACCGCAACCUCCACCUCCCGGGUUCAAGCGAUUCUCCUGCCUCAGCCUCUCGAGUAGCUGGGAUUACAGGUGCCCACCACCACGCCCAGCUAAUUUUUUUUUGUAUUUUUAGUACAGACGGGGUUUCACCAUGUUAGGAUGGUCUCGAUCUCCUGACCUCGUGAUCCGCCUGCCUCGGCCUCCCAAAGUGCUGGGAUUACAGGCGUGAGCCACUGUAGCGGCCCCCACCCCAUUUCAUUUUUUAUUUUUUUAUUAUACUUUAAGUUCUAGGGUACCUAUGCACAACGCGCAGGUUUGUUACAUAUAUAUACAUGUGCCAUGUUGGUGUGCUGCACGCAUUAACUCGUCAUUUACAUUAGGUAUAUCUCCUAAUGCCUUCCCUCCCGCCUCCCCCAGGCCCUUAGUUUGUGCUGCUCUGCGUUGGUUUUCUGCGUGUGCUAAAAGGGGAGGGAGAGUUUCUGUGCCCAUUCCCAGGCACCUUCUUGCAGCCGCAGGCAUCUCCCCCACACGUGCUUCUAGCUUCCCGGGUGUGGCGUGAGCCAUUGCGUCCGGCCAGAAAUGUUUUAUUUCUUGAGAACUUGUCUGUCUCUGUGAUGACUGUGGGUUGUCCAGCUCAUCCCUCAAGCGCCAUCCUGCCAGGCCCUUCACUGUGGUGAGAAACCGGCCUACUCACAUCACAGGUGCCCCUGGAGUUUCUCAAACUGCAGCCCAAGGAUUGGCUGCUUGCUUUUGUAAAAAAAAAUGUUUUAUUAGAGUGCAGCCACGGCUGCUUCUGCACUACAGUGGCAAUGGUGACAUUGAGUGUGGCAGAGACCGAGUGUCCCUUGAGCCUAAAAUAUUUACUAUCUGGCUCUUCAACAAAAAGUGUGCUGACCCCCGGUGAUUGCUUGUAUGUGGCAGGGGUCUAAGGCCUGCCUGCACGUCCUGGGACAGCCCACGCUUCCACAGGGUUCCAGCAUGCUUUCCGCCGAGAAAUCGCUCCCUUUGCUGUUUGUUUUGUAUUGAAUGUUUCUUCAUGCUUUUGUUUUACUUUCAGGGAUAAUUAUAUAAUGUUAUGUUUCAUCCACAUUAUUUUAGUAUGGAUAUUUAUAAUUUCCUAAAGCACUAUUUUUUUUUUUUGAGACAGAGUCUUGCUCUGUCGCCCAGGCUGGAGUGCAGUGGCUCGAUCUCUGCUCACUGCAAGCUCCGCCUCCUGUGUUCACGCCAUUCUCCUGCCUCAGCCUCCCAAGUAGCUGGGACUACAGAUGCCCACCACCAUGCCCAGCUAAUUUUUUUGUAUUUUUUUAGUAGAGACGGGGUUUCACUGUGUUAGCCAGGAUGGUCACGAUCUCCUGACCUCGUGAUCUGCCCACCUCGGCCUUCCAAAGUGUUGGGAUUACAGGCUUGAGCCACUGUGCCCGGCCCAUAAAGCACUAUUUAAUGACUGCUCCAUAAAUACAAACUUCCUUUCCUUAUUAUUAUUAUUUAUUUUUUUUUUGAGAUGGAGUCUUGCUCUCGUCCCCCAGGCUGGAGUGCAGUGGCGCGAUCUCGGCUCACUGCAACCUCCGCCUCCCGGGUUCAAGCAAUUCUCGUGCCUCAGCCUCCCGCGUAGUCGGGAUUACAGGUGCAUGCAGCCAUGCCCGGCUAAUUUUGUAUUUUUAGUAGAGACAAGGUUUCACCAUGUUGGUCAGGCUGGUCUCCAACUCCUGACCUCAAGUGAUCCGCCUGCCUCGGCCUCCCAAAGUAGUGGGAUUGCAGGCGUGAGCCACCGCGCCGGGCCCCCACCCCAUUCUUUGAUCCUGCAGGCAGGCCCUUCGUUUGUGCUGCUCUGCGCUGCUGCUUAUCUGUGUGUGCUAAAAGGGGAGGGAGUGUUUCUGUGCCCAUUCCCAGGCACCUUCGUGCAGCUGCAGGCAUCUCCCCCACGCGCUUCCAGCUUCCCUUAGUGUGCCUAAAGAAAGGGAAAGGAAUGUGCUUUAGGCCCACUGUUUUCACUGGGGCCCAUCUAUGUAUGUGGCUUGGUGAUUACCCAGGAACCUCCCAAGUCUGUGCCCGAGUUGCUUAUCUGUGUUUUACAGCCUGAAAGAUCAGGCUGCUCUUUGUUAGGAGAAGUGAUUUCUUUGAACUGCGUGGUGUGGUGAGAAAGGGAGCAAUUUCUAAGCUGCUUUUUGUUAGGAAGUUUUUUGCUGGGGACUCUCUUCGCCCUAUCUACCUAAAUGAUUUCUGUUUCUUACAUCAAUUGGGUAUUGAUUUCAGGUAGAAUGGGUGAAUGCAUUUAUUCGUUCAUCUAAGCCGCAUUUACUCCUUUCUUUUCUUUCACUGUUGUUUUUUUUUUGAGACGGAGUCUUGCACUGUCACCCAGGCUGGAGUGCAGUGGUGCGAUCUCGGCUCACUGCAAGCUCCACCUCCCGGGUUCAUGCCAUUCUCCUGCCUCAGCCUCCCGAGUAGCUGGGACUACAGGCGCCCACCACCACGCCCGGCUAAGCUAAUUUUUUGUAUUGUUAGUAGAGACGGGGUUUCACCGUGUUAGCCAGGAUGGUCUCAAUCUGACCUUGUGAUUCCGCCCACCUCGGCCUCCCAAAGUGCUGGGAUUACAGCCGUGAGCCACCGCACCUGGCCUCUUUCAGUUUUGAUAGCAGAUUAUUUCCUUUGGCCCUGCGUGGUCUCUCUCUGGCUGGGCAGCUCUGGGCCAGCCAUAAAUGGAGGGGAGGGCGUGUGUGUGGCCACGUGUGUUUCUGUCCUGGACAACACUGUCCGGAGGGGCCUAAGUGGGAAGUGCCCUCAACCAAGGAGAUAGCUGCUGUGUGUGUGUGUGUUGUGUGUGGUUGGGACAGUCGGGGAUUCUCACUUUUUUUUAAAAUUUGAGAUGGAGUUUCACUGUCGUCACCCAGGCUAGAGUGCAAUGGUGUGAUUUCGGCUCACUGCAACCUCUGCCUCCCGGGUUUAAGCGAUUCUCCUGCUUCAGCCUCUCAAGUAGCUGGGAUUACAGGUGCCCGCCACCACGCCCAGCUAAUUUUUGUAUUUUUAGUAGAGACGGGGUUUCACCACGUUGGCCAGGCUGGUCUGGAACUCCUGACCUCAGGUGAUCCACCUGCCUCGGCCCCCCAAAGUACUGGGAUUACAGGCGUGAGCCACUGGGCGCAGCCUGGGAUCCUCACUUUUUCGCAGAUUGGUCACUAGCAGGGCGUCUGAUGGAACUUUCUGAGAUGCCGGAAAUGUUCUCUGUGCUGUACAAAAGGGAUGCCACUAGCCACAUGCCACGUAGAACAGUUGAAAUGUGGCCAGCAUGAGAUUUUUUUAAUCUUGCCAAUUUUUGAUGGAUUUAAGUUUAAGCACCUGCGUGUGAGCGGCUACCGCGUGGGCUGGGAUUGGAGGAAGCUGGAAAGCGCUCCCCUGCGUUUCGGCUGCUGGCCCAGCAGAGGGCGCCGGAGAGCGGACGGAGCCGCAGGCGGGGUUGUGGGAAGACGCUGGGAUCCCGUGCGCGCUUGUGCUCCUUCCUUCUGGGCCAGCGCGCAGACUAUCAACCGAGGUAUUCAGUCCCUCGGAAACCCAGUUCCUCCGUUUCCAGGCUUCUCGCCCACACGGAGACAGUCGCUCUCACACGUACCUCUCGCGGGCUCUUACUCGUGGUCCCGGUCUCCUCCUGGUCCCCACCUUCCAGCCCAGCGCGCACACUAGACGGCACGUGCUCUCCACGCUCUUUCUCCAGCGCCCCUUGCUCACCCGCCCCCCGUUGGAGUGGCCCAUCCUCUCCGCUUAGACACCUGCAGUCACUGUCACUAGCUGAACUGCGCCCUCCUGAAAGCUCUAUGUUGAAACCCUACCCCCCACCCUGCACCGACCCCGUACCCCAGAAUGGGGCUGUAUUUGGAGACAGGGCCUUUACAAGGUAAGUAAGGUUAAAAUGAGGACAUUAGGGUGGGUCCUAAUCCAAUCUGACUGUUAUAUAGUGGGGUUGCACCUUCAUGUGAGGACGCCGGGAGAAGACAGCCGUCUGGGAGCCAAGGAGAGAGGCCUUGGCGGAAGCCAACCCUGCAGCACCUUCAUCUUGAAUUUCUGGUUUCCAGAACUGUGAGAAAAUCCAUUGACGUUCUAUAGCGCUCCCAGCUGGCGGUACUUUGUUAUGACAGCCCUAACAUGAAUGCAGCCAUCCACACUGUCUGGGGGAAGGCACACACACCCCACAGCACCCUUGCUGUCUCACCCCGUAUCGCAAAAGCUCACGCAUGUGUCUCUCCCGAGUCCCUGGAGGGUCCUGCCACCUACAUCUCUCUCCUUGGCCUGCCGCCUGUGAUGCUCCUGGGCCCCCUGCUCCAGCACCGCUCCCUUCCUUCUGUAAUACAGACAACAGAGACAGGAGAUGGCCUGGCCCCACUUCAUUUCUGUUCCCUGGGAAAUAAGCAUCGCAAGUGAUCCGUAGAAUGGUAGACAUCAUCCACUUCCCAAGCAUCUCUGGCUGAAUGCUGUUCUCAUCCACUUCCCAAGCAUCUCUGGCUGAAUGCUGUUCUACACAUGCACGUGGGAGGCACCAGGGAGCCCAGAAGAAAUGAAAAGCCUGGGCAGACUCGCAGUUCUGCCACACAGUGAAUGUGCUACUCAAGCCACUCAGCCUGGGCUGCAGAGGUUGGAAGCCUCACUGGCCUGAGGUUUCUGAGUAAGCUCUGACCCAAUCAUUGACUAUUAAACUUCAGAGGUCCAUGGAGACCUCUUAGGAGUCUUUGAAGGAACUUAGCAUAGAUACCGAUAGCUGCUGACUGCAGGGAGAUGGGGAGAUAUGUUUUGUAAACCUGUCCAGGCAACUUUUUUGCCUACGGAAACACACAAAAACGAAAACAAACCAAUGAAAAAAACCUCUCAGAACGAUACAGAAUCCAGAGCCACUACAACACAUUUCAUGAAGUGGCGUGAGCCUGUAAUUCCAGCAGUUUGGGAGGCCGGGGCGAAUGGAUGACUUGAGGUCAGGAGUUCGAGACCAGCCUGGCCAACAUGACAAAAUCACCAUCUCUACUAAAAAUACAAAAAUUAGUCAUGCAUAGUGGCAUGCACCUGUAGUCCCAGCUACUCGGGAUGCUGAGAUGGGAGAAUCGUUUGAGCCCGGGAGGUGGAGGUUGCAGUGAGCCGAGAUCGCACCAUUGCACUCCAGCAUGGACAACAGAGCAAGACCCUUUCUUAGAAAAAAGAAAAGUAUCCCCGAACAUUAUCAGAGUCAAGUUAAUAAAGGCCAAAGGUAGAGAAAAUCUUGAAAGUAUCGAGAAAAUGACAUGUCAAUCAUAAGGUCAGGUUCUUCAACAGUCAUACUGACAUUGUGGCUGGAAUAUUUGUUGUUGUGGGAUAUAUAUAUAUAUAUAUAUUUAGAGUGUUGUGGGAUAUAUAUAUAUAUUUAGAGACAAGGUCUUGCUCUAUCACUAAAGCUGCAUUGCAGUGUGUGAUCAUAGCUCACCAUGGGAUUCUUGAUUUUCAGUGAGUAUAAAGUGUAAGACAAAAUAAGUCUUAGUUCAGGUAUGCUGGAUGGGAAGCCAGAGGUCUGCAUAGCAGUUACAAAGAAGGCCUUAUUAUCUGGAAGAAAAGGGACCAUAGAAUGUCCAUUGGUUGGGGAACAACCCAGCUUUAGUUUUUCCAGAUUCUCUGCAUGUGCAGGUUUAUGAGACUGGAGAACUUUGAUUUCUUCUUCCUCCUCCUCCUCUCUUUUCUUCUUCCUCUUCCUCCUUUUUCUCCUCCUUUCUUCCUUUAUUUUUCUUUCUUCCUUUCCUCCUCUUUCUUCUCCUUUUUCCUCCUCUUUUCUUCCUUUCUUCUCUUUUUCUUCUUCUUUUUUUUUUUUUUUUAAAAGACCGUGUUUCGCUCUGUCACCCAGGCUGGAAUGCAGUGGCGUACUGUUUUAGAAAAGUGAAAGAGGGCCGGGCGUGGUGGCUCAUGUCUGAAAUCCUAGCACUUUGGGAGGCUGAGGCGGGUGGAUCACCUGAGGUUGGGAGUUCGAGACCAGCCUGGCCGACAUGGCAAAACCCUGUCUCUACUAAAAAUACAAAAAUUAGCCGGGCAUGAUGGCAGAUGCCUGUAAUCUCAGCUCCUCAGUAGGCUAAGGCGGGAGAAUCGCUUGAACCCAGAGGCAGAGGCUGCAGUGAGCCAAGAUUGCAGCAUUGCAGGAAAGAGAGAAAAAGGAGGGAAGGGGAAGGAAAAGGAAAGAAAGAAAAGAGGGGAAGGGAAGGGAGAGAUUUAAAAAACAAUAGUAAAGAGAGAUUUAAAAAACAAUAGUAAAGAGAGAUUAAAAAAAAAAAGUAAAUGGGCCAGGUGCGAUGGCUUGUGCCUGUAAUCCCAGCAGUUUGAGAGGCUGAAGUGGGAGGAUCACUUGAAGCCAGGAGUACCAGACCAGCCUGGGAAACAUAGUGAGAC